Polyodon spathula (Mississippi paddlefish) is the source of this 137-nucleotide small nucleolar RNA. RefSeq annotates it as small nucleolar RNA SNORA13. NCBI's taxonomy places the organism in Eukaryota, Metazoa, Chordata, Actinopteri, Acipenseriformes, Polyodontidae. The record is from RefSeq and is a predicted model, not a curated record. The transcript has a single exon.
UGCCUUUGUGUUGCCUGUUCAUAUUUCCUUUUAUGAAUGGAGUGUCAAAAAAGGCAGACAAAAAGUCCUUUUGCUGUGUUUAUCUUGAGCUUUGGGAAUAUACACCCUCUACUUUAUUCAUGGCAAAAGAAACACAU